This 508-nucleotide long non-coding RNA is filed under the name Haliotis rubra (blacklip abalone). RNAcentral describes it as "uncharacterized LOC124263171, transcript variant X1". The record is from RNAcentral. Lineage: Eukaryota; Metazoa; Mollusca; Gastropoda; Lepetellida; Haliotidae.
GUACUCCUCUCCUGGGCAGAUGAAGGCCACGGUGUUGCUUGUGGUGUUAGUCGCCGCAGUGUUGCUGCUACACUCCGGUGACGCAUGGAGACGUCGUUCAUGGCUUCGGAGGCUAUUUAGGGGAACAAGACCGUGCAAGAAACUGCAUGGCAAAUGCCAUUGGCAACGCCGAGACGUAGGAGACGCUGAAGACGCAGCUAUGCAUCUACACCUCGACACACAGGAUUCACCUGCUCCGUCGAAAUAAGAUGUAUGUAGAUCAUACUGAUGUACCGGGGCAGGGAACCCCCAUCAAACCGCACAAUAUUGUUCUCAGUGUAAUCGUCCAGAUGUAACUAUUGCUCGGUUGGUACGUUUAACGACAUACCAAAUUAAUGGUAAAGCUACUAUAACUACAUGACUGUGUGCUCAAUAAUUAUCAACAAAUGCUUUUAUUUUUCAGGUAAUAUCGAUUGUGAGAUCGUUUGGCUUUUGACAAUAAAAUCGACAAUAAAAUUCAACGACGACA